Camellia sinensis is the source of this 169-nucleotide non-coding RNA. NCBI's taxonomy places the organism in Eukaryota, Viridiplantae, Streptophyta, Magnoliopsida, Ericales, Theaceae. The record is from RefSeq and is a predicted model, not a curated record.
UUCGAAAAAUUUCCGAACGUGGAGGUUGUCAAUGAUCAAGCUAUCGGAGAUCUCGAGGCAUUCUAUAAGGCAUCAAAGCAAAGACUUGACGGUGAUCCUGGAUUCAAGGAGAGGGCACAACAAGCGGUGGUCAGUUUCCAGGGUGGGGAAGAGAAGUAUCGAAAGGCAU